This is a non-coding RNA of Picea glauca (white spruce), 121 nucleotides long. The record is from Rfam. Lineage: Eukaryota; Viridiplantae; Streptophyta; Pinopsida; Pinales; Pinaceae.
ACAUGCAUACAACUUAGUGUUAAUUCAUCGAAUCCCAUUAGAACUCCACAGUUAUGUGCGCUCGACCUAGAGUAGUACUGGGAUGGGUGACCACUUGGGAAGUUUUAGUAUUUUACAUGCC